GCCCUUAUUCGACAUGCUAAAAGUGACGUUUCGUGUUGAUUUCCAUUUGAUGUGAGAAAUAUUGUGACUUGUCGAAUUGCUAUUAUCACCACCUGUCAGUGAACAAUAUCCACACUAGAGGCGGGGCGUUGUACCGGAAUAGUUUUUGGAACAGGUUAUUUGUAAUAGACUACUUUUAGCUUGUCGAGUAUUCAAAAGUACGGACUUUGAUUUCUGAAAUAAAACAAAUAUGAAACUUUUAUCACCUCGUACCUCCAUUCUUACCGUUACUUUAGGUAAAAUAAAAUUUUGUUAACAGAUGGUCGUCUGGGUGUCUGGUGUAUCUAAAAAUAAUGUAAUAAUAUAUAACAAAAAUAUGACAAUAGAUUCAUAGCCUUCACUCAAAACGUCACCAUAUUUCCGACCCUUACCGAAAUAAUAAGUCGAUAUUUGUAUAAAUAAUCCUUAUUUGUAAGACGCCUAAGCAUGGCAAAUACGUAAACUGCCUAUUGGGGGUCAUACUCGUAAAACUGGUAUUUUAGACGUACUUUUGGUACGAGUAACAGAGACGUACUUUUGGUACGCAGUCCCAGCUCUAGUCAGGAUUCUAGUUGUCAAAUAUAAGCGUGUCGAAUACGUAUUAGUUAACUGUCAAAUGAAAUUAGAUCAACGGUAGACUUUUUUGUCGAUGGGUAUGGCUGCCAUGUUUGGAUUUAUGACAUUUAAAAGGGGAUCCUAAGGCAGAGAGUAGUUUUUUUCUGUACGAUUUUGAUUCUUCUACUGGACGCAAGAUGGAGUUAGCUGCCAAAUUCCGAUCAGGCUGACGCAACUAGGAAGACAAAAGUUUUGUAUGGAAUUUGUUUCGCAAAUCAUUGCCAACGAAGAAAAAGAAAACGUCAGUGCUAUUUAUUCUGUCAAGUUUACAUCAAGUCUACUGUCAGCCUAAUUGCUUUGUUUGUUUUGAAGGCUUCAAUGUUUUGUUCGGGUAUUUCGUGUAAUUUCUUUAUUAUUUAGUGAAAAAAUCGAAAAUAGUCAACCGUGAUCAGAGUAAAGAGCGAGUUUGUUACAAUGCCAGCGAGAAAACGGUUUACUAAGUGUGAAAUAUGUGGCAAGCGAGCCACUCGAGAAAAUCACGAAAAAAGGGAUUUUAUGGCGAAAUUUCCCUUGGAUGAAGACUGAUGUCGAACUACCAGCAAAGUUUUUGAAGAGGUGUAGUUUUUAUAUUUCCUGGUACCAAACUGAUACAGGAAAUUGGAAUGUCAGUAAAUAAUCUACACCGAAGACAAUGAAAUAUAGUCACAUAAUACUUUAAUGUUUUAUUUUAUUAAAGAAAGCGGUAAAAAAAUGUGUUAACUGAAAAAGAUAAAUUUUAUUUUAUUUGUAGUUGAAUAACAAAAUAUGUAUUUAAUCUCCUUUUAACAUAGGAAUUCUCUUUGUGUAGGUACAUAUAAAUAAUAGGUACUUAGGUCUUGGUAAGUAAUAUAGACAGUACAGUAGGUCUUAUCUUAAUAAUUUGAGAUCUCAUACAUGCGUUCCGAUAUAUCUGAUGGCGACUGUACAUACAAUGGGGUCGCGUAUACGAGUACAAAGAGCAUUAAAAUAGUUGUUGAUAGACCAAGUGAGCGAGCUACUAUGGUACCUAUCUUUAUAUCAAUUUUAUGCAUUAUGUAAUAGCGCAAUACAGAAAAAAAAAAGACAAAUGUAGUAUUAUUUUUAUAGUAAUAAAGGUUAUUCAUGAACCAUCUCGUAAUUUAAAAAAAAAAACGGACUUUAUCUCUAAAUCAUAUGCCUUAUAUUUACAGAUGUGUUAGGUUACAACUUGGUUCGUGAACGUGGUUUAGAAGCAACUUGAGACUGGGUGCGGAGUAAAUUGCAUCAAUUUUUUUUACAAUUUUGAGCGUUUAUAGGAGAAUAUGUGGAGCGAGCAUUAUUCGACGUGUAGGUGUGGGUUCAACAAAAAGAUCGUAUGUCAAUAGUUCUUUAUUGUCGUUAAAAUUCAAUUAAUAAUCGCCUUUAUCGACCAUCAACUGUGUGGUCACUUUUUAAUUGAUUGACGUUGUCAGGUACAGUUUCACUACUCGCCGCCGCAUUGUUCAUAGCGCAUUACUUAUCCUAUCGAAUACAAGAUGUCGCUGAUUCCUGUAAACUUAUGUUUAAAAAAAAAAGACGCUUUACUCUAUGCCAUAUAUUGUAGGAAAGGAAGGGUAUUCCCUGUCGUACGUCAAAAAAUCCAAGAUGGUGCCCAAGCCCAUGGACAAAAAAGUCUAGCAAUAAAAUCAACACUUGUCAAAAUUUGACAUUAGCAAUCCACAGUCAGGUGACAAUCAAAUCAAACCGAACCACUUCGAGUUCAGAGCCAUUUCAAACUAUAUAGUAGUAAUAAACAAAGUUGAUUUUUGUUUGAUUAUUUUUUCUAUGAAUGAGUUUUGAUUGUUCCAAAUGAUAAUAUCCACAGUUGAUAGAAUCAACACUUGAUACAAUCAACAUGCGAUAGAAUCAAGUGUUGAUUUGAUGUGGACGCGAAAUUUGACAGUUGUGCAUCUCGAAUAAGGCCCAAGAACUCGAGUUUAGACUUAAUAUGUGAGUCUGAAAAACUGAGUCGAGUUUCAAAGCAGAGAACUCAAAGGACUCUAAACCAACACUAACCUGAACACGACAUACAGCGCAUCUCAAGCGCACCAAUCGGCGUGAGAGAUAAACAAGGUCGUAUCAAAACAUUAGAUAACAAAUUGGUGGUAGUUUAGCGAAAAGGAUCCAUUCUAUAAAAUUCGUCAUUUAAAUUUAUGACUUUUCUCUUUGGCAGAAAGUUAAAAUUGUAUUUAAAGAUUUAUGUGCAUUGGAUCCUUUUCUCUAAAUUACUUCCAAUUCAAUCGGAUUCGGCUUUCUGGAACGCAUUCGCAUUGGAACCUAAAUAAAAUCUCAUCUUAUGUGAAAUUACUGUAAGAACAUCCCGCACUAAUUCGUGUUACAAGCAAGCUGGGGCCCAUUUCUCGAACGGUAUGAGUCUUAUAAGUGUGUUGCCAUAGUAACCCAUAAGACUUGUCAGUUCGUGAACUAAUAUUAUUAGUAGUCUAAUAGGGACCGUGCGGGUUGGAGGGUCUGUCAUCCUGUGGCCUGAAUCGGAACCAUUUAUUUAUUUAUUUAUUUUUUCAAAUAUUUACACGGCAUUACAGCAUAUGCCAAUACACCGAAUAAUUAGACUAUACAAAUACAAAACAUAUAUAAAAUAAAAAACAGAUAUUCAUUAAAAAUCACAUGCAAGUGCUGGAAAGCCUAUCAUCCAUCAUCUCACAGAACCUCAGACACGCCUGGCACACAUUCGCCCAUCUCCCCGCAAACAAGUCACACUCUGGUGCUGAUGUCAAGAGUGCAUUGAGCAGCGAUAACGCGCGGAGGAGUGGCGAGUUCCUGCGCGAUACUGUGCGCGCCACCGGUACGGCCAACAGUGGACGCGUUCGCGGCCUCAAGAAGACUCGAGGAAUAUCCGGGACGUACAACCUCAAGACUCGAUCUACCAGUUCCGGGCAGUCCGAGUCACCGCGCAAUAUGCGACAAGCUGUAGUCAGCAAGAUGUUGUUGCGCCUCACCUCUAGAGAAUUAUAUCCAAGGCAGCCUAAUAAGAAUUUUGUUGGGUACAAGAAUGGGAAGUACCCAUACCUUUUUUUGUACAGAAAUCUCAAAAAGGCCUUUUGGAUUCUCUCCAGAAGUAAGGCGUAUGAAGACUCGUACGGAUUCCAUAUAAUAGAUGAGGCCUCAAGCUUGCUCCUCACUAAGGCGUUGAAAACCAUCGCAAUAGCCCCAGUGUCACGAAAAUCCUUGACAUUGCGGACCAUGAACAUGUACAUUUACACGUCAAGUGUUUUCUUGUGCAUAGUAGGUUCUGCCAUCUUGUGGGAUACAUCGGAACAAUAAACAUCACAUUUACGCCUCGCGCCAAAAAUCUGACGGCUCCUGUGCUGCAGUUCAUGCACGCUCCCUAUACCGCUCAAGAAAUUGGCCCAAAGACGUGCUGCGAGUACCUAAUUUCAAAAUAAUAUCAAAUAAAUGAAAAAAUGUAAUGCCGGAUAACGCAAAACAAUUGCUUUAUGAUUACCUAUUUAGAGUAUACUCGUUAUAAUCUAUCUACGAAUAAAAGUAUUAUCGUUAUCUUGGAGGAUUUAACAACUGAAGUCGCCUUUAAGAGCUUACCCCUCUGCCGAAAACCUCGGCCAAUGGUCAUAUGUAUUGUAUGGACUGACGUUUAUUUCCCAUGGCUAUUUGUACGUUACGUAAAAAUAGCCAUACAUUUGACGUGCCCCUUCCCCGCAAAAAUCGGCAAACUGUUUUGUACAGAAAAUUACAGACAAGGUGUCUCCAGUUGUUAAAUCCUCCAAGAUCGUUAUGGAGGAUUUAACAACCAGAGUCAUCUUUAAGAGUUUACCCCUCUGUCGAAAACCUCGGCCAAUAGUCAUACUUAUUGUAUGUACUGACCUUUAUCUGACACGUACAUAACGUACAAAUAACCAUACAUUUGACGCACCCCUCCCCGCAAAAUCGGCAGACUGUUUUGUACAGAAAAUUACAGAAAAGGUGUCUACAGUUCUUAAAUCCUUCAAGUACUAUUUUAAAUAGUAAAUUUGACAAAGGAGUGCUAAAAACCAGAAACUAGUCGUACGAAGGGUGAUUGCUGAAUUUUUACUAGAUCUAAGACGAAACUUUACACCAAAUAAUUUAAGACGAUAACUUAGUCUAUAGAUAUUAUAUGUUAUUUGUAUUAUAUUUAUUGUUAUGUACAGUCGCCAUCAGAUAUAUCGGAGCUGCAAAAGCGCUCACAAAUAUCUGAACACACCUCUAUUGUAAAGGCGUUAGAGUGCGUGUUGAGAUAUUUUUGAGCAUCUCUGCUGCUCCGAUAUAUCUGAUGGCGACUGUACAUGAACGGUCUAGGUAAACGUUUUUGGGCUAUUUGUUAUUUUGUUGUAGGUUUUUAGAUUUUCAUAUAAUUUGGUGGAUAGACAAAGUAGAGUUCCCUAUUCUGUACAACAUAAUUGCAAUUUCACCUCCUAUAAAAAUUAAUUUAAAAAAAAAAUAACCUAUUGUACCUAUACAUACCUACCUAUGCCUAUUGCUAUUAUACCUAUGUAUGUCCUACAAAAUCUUCCACUAAGCUACGUAAACGUAUGAAACUUUGUCAAAGGAAUUUUUUUUCCAAAUUGGGAUUUUGUAUCUAUUCUAACAAGAAUGAGGAACUCUUCAAAUCUACCAUUUUUUUAUCAAAAUCUGACUAAUAAAUUUAAUCGACAAAAAAAAUGGCCCUUUUACGUCUAAUGAAAUAUAUGUCUUCAGUUACAACAAUAUCUGUCACGAUGAAGCGCUCGCUCGAUUGCGAUAUUUCUGACCGAUUCAAUCCUUCAAGAAAAGAGCGUGCUCCAUUGUUAAAAGCCGACAACGACAACGCACUUCACUUGCCCUCUGGUGUUGCAGGUGUCCGUGGGCAACGAUAAUUGCCUACCAUCAGGCAAUUCGUCAGCUCGUUUGCCUCCUAUAUAAUAAAGAUAUACUUACACGUUCUCGCGUCAGAAAAUUUUGAGCACUCCAUUUACUUCAAUGUACAGUCAGCAAUACUAUUUGCUUAGCACCUUUGCAUAUCUACUAAUUUCUAUGCAGGGGGUGGUCGGUCCAUUUUCUCUGCAGCUGACUGUACCUACUUAAACUAUUAUAAUGCUACUUCUUUGUUACGACUCUCAUUUACUUGGGACUGAAACUCAUUAAAUUACAAAAAUAUGACUAUUCCACACUACAUUCUCAUUAUUUUGUCAGAAAAAUAAAGCGAUGCACAAAUUAGACACUGCCUUAAAACGACACGUUUUCCAGGUAUAGGUAGGUAUAUCCAGGUAUAUGGAAAUCUCAUUAUAACCCCUUCACAUGGCCUUUAUAUUCUGUUUGUAUAUCAGAUACUAAAAUGACUAUGUAUUGUAUUUGCCGACUUAAUCAUCCUGUUUUUGUACCAAUUUUGUAGUAAAAUGUCAGAUCAAUCGGACAACUUGGAGCAAAUGAACCGUAGUGCCAUUUUAGUAUCUGGCAUUUUGAAAACAGAGCCUAAAGAAAAUUUACUCUGUAUGUUAUCUACAGAAUGUUCAUUUAGUCACCUGCAAUAAUUUACGGGCUGAAUAUAUAGGCCAUAUUGAGCAACUUUUAAUCGGACCAAUCCCGAAAUCUCGAAAAAAAAAUGUACCUCCUAUACAAAAUGUCAAGGUCAGUCAUCAAUUUUUUUUUCGCUAUUUCGGGAUUGGUCCCAUAGUAAAAAUUGCUCAGUAUGACCUAUAUAUUUACUCCGUAAAUUAUUGCAAGUGACUAAAUAACAUUCUGUAUAUUCAUGGAAGCCUACUUUUCUUGUAGAUUAACGAGUCGAUUUAUUAAUUGAUAGGUCAUAAUGAGUGUGAUAAUGGCCUAAGAUAAUUAAACAAAUGUUUACAAAAUUUAGAACAGAAUUGAAGAACUAAUGAAACACAUCCGCGAGAUCUCUUUCAUUUUGUACCUAGUAAGAAUCCGCAGUAAGCUCGGCAGAAUUUUAAAACUACGUGUUGGAUUCAAUGACACUUUGCACAUACAAUGACAUGCUGAGGUAUAUCUAUGCCUGUAAUUUGUCUAUACAGCUCCAGGUUAUAAAACAAAAUAGAGCAAAAACAAGUUUCGUAUGAAAAACUUAAAUCAGUUGUAUUUUUUUAACUAUGGUAUCUGAAGCUACAUAAUCUAAUAACAUGCAUAGAUAUACCUUAUCCUAUUGAAAGUACAAAGUUUCAGAGCAAUCUAGCUAGUCGUUUUAAAAUGAGAGCGUAACUACGUCUGUAUGAAGAACCGAGCUUACUGUGGACUCUUUAAGUGUAUCAUAUCAUAUAUCAUGCACGGCUCUGGACUAUUAAUCUAUAGGUAGUUAUCUAUAGGUAUUAAGUGUGUCGUUACUCAAUAGCCACCCCAAAUCAUGUCCAGUGGUACACCAUAAAUCGUCUGUAAAUAGACGAAAUGGCCCAUGAUGAAAUCCAUUUAACUUAUUUAUUUUAGGAUUCACUAGAAUCAUAGGUUCUUCAUAUUUUAUACCUGCAAUUAAGAUUACAUCGUUUGUUUACGCUUCGGCUUCACAAACAUACGAGUAAAGCCUGACCAGUAAUAUAUGAUCACGCGCCAUAUUGCGGAAUUUCAUUGGAACUAUUGCAUGAGAACAACAGCGCCCUCUUGACAAUGAUCAUUAUAUUUCUGGUCGGGCUUUAGAAAUUUAACGAACUAUGUCGAUAGUUCCGAAAUAAAUAAAAACAUAAAAAUUGGCUUCGUUGAAUCGAUUAUAGUAAGAGAAUGUAUUAAAUUUUCUUUAGCCAAGUGUACUAUCAGCAACCCACUAGACUGACCAUUGGUCGACCUUAUAUCUUUGCGAUAAGGUUCAUAGUCAGUUUAGUGUGAGAUGGUAUUUUACGAGACUUGUUUUCAAUUGAAUACGAAACAAUUUAGUCAAGCACCAACUGCUAUGUGGUCUUACGCCGGCAAAUCAUUCGGUGGUUUUCGUAGUGUCAUUGCGUCACUUUCGUUUGCUAUAUAAAGAGAUGAAAGAACGAACAAAGUGAACUGGCCACUUUAAAACGAUUCCACUUUAUAAUUGUGCUGAAACUUAUCAACAUUCAUAAUAUUAAUCAUGGUAUUCUUACCUGUGUCUUAAUACAGUUGUGUUUGAAUAAUAGACGAAUAUUUGAAAAAAUACCAUCAAGUCCCAUUUCUAAUAUUUAAAAGGCCGAGUUCGUACACGUAAUAAAAUAAAUAAAGUAUUGUUUAUAAAUGUACCCUACAAAAAAAUAAACCUAUAUUAUUAUAAUUAGUAAAAUCAUGGCUAGCAUAGCAUAACAUGUGAUACUGCCCGGUUCGAACUUUAAGAUACGUCAAACAUUUGCUAAAGAUACGAUAUGGAUUAGAUAUGUCAGUGUCAAAAGUGACGUUUUUCAAACAAAAAUGGACACUGACACAUCCAACCCAUAUCAUAUCUUUACGAAAUUUUUGACGUGUUCUUCAAAUUCGAAUCGGGCCGAUAGUCCAGUCAAACUUUCAUAAAUACUUUAAGUUCAUAAUAUUGACAGUGAUUCGCAAAAAAAGAUAACGAGGCCCGCUAAGGCCGUAGCCUUAAUAAAUAUAACUAUAACACGUUAGACAUUAAAGUUGUAAAUUUUUAUCGAAUGUUAGACUGAUCUUUAAAAUAUAUACGAUCAUUAAGAUAUUUGUAAAUGUCAUAUAAUUUUUUUAAGAGUAGAAAUUUAUUUCAAUCCUAAGAUGAGGUGGACCAAAGUCGAUGUGUUAAAUUUUCAAUUAAAAUAGAUUAGAAAAUCGAAUCGAAAAAUUUGAUAAUUCAUAAUGGGAUUGGCCCACCUCAUCUAAAAGCAGCUGACCUACCAGCGGCGAGGAAGUGACUGGCGAUUGAAAAUCCUAUGUGAUAAAGCAUUUAUAUGCAUAUAUUAAUCUUUGGUACUAAACUUUAAGAAAACAAACACUUGCUUAGAAAAGCCAUCACUACUCACUUCCAGCAUAUUGCCACUAGAAGGACAGCUGCCUAAGAAAGUAGUAUCAUUCUCUGUCCACUUUUCUCCUAAUUAUUUCAUACUUUUACAGGGGCUUGAAAUAAUAUAUGCCUUUGAUUUACUAGUACAAAAGAUGGAAAUCAAAUCACUAGUCAGAUAAUUUCAUUGUUUAUAUUGGUAUUAGCUGUAGAUGAUGUAGGUGAUCAACUAAGCUUCUGAGAGAAAUUUGGUAGUAAACUACUACUAACUGAAUGGUUGGAAAUCAGCAAGGUAUCCUUUAUUGGCAACUGUCUGGUCAACACUUAAGUUCCAGGGGUCUAAAUUAUAUUAUCUUUGCCAUUAUCGCGUCUGAGGGCAUUAAGGGAUUAAUUAAGCCAAAAAAUAAUGGUAAUAUUUUCUGACUUAAUACAUCACUACUGUCUACAUGAAAAUAGCUAUACCUGGUAUAACAUAAUUAAUCUGAGACAUACAUUAUUUCAACAAUCAUUUUAUUAGAUUAUUGUUAUAUAUGUACACACCUACUUACGGGGAUAGAAUUAAGUAAUAUACCUCAAUUUGCUCACGGACUUGCUUAACGACGGAAUCUGUGUAGCUAAAUGUAAAAUGAUAAGGAUUUUGUAAAUAUUAUGUAUGUAGAAAAGAAAAUCUUAUUUGUAAAUUAAAUUCGUAUGUUUAAAGGCAAUGUGUUGAUGUAAUACACUUAUGAUGAUAAAUAAAUAUGGCAAAAUAAAUUUUGA
This is a long non-coding RNA of Cydia pomonella (codling moth), 9247 nucleotides long. RefSeq lists it as uncharacterized. The transcript has 3 exons. The record is from RefSeq and is a predicted model, not a curated record. NCBI's taxonomy places the organism in Eukaryota, Metazoa, Arthropoda, Insecta, Lepidoptera, Tortricidae.